GCUGGGUGUGGUGGUGCAUGCCUGUAAUCCCAGCUACUUGGGAGGCUGAGGCAGGAGAAUUGCUUGAACCUGGGAGGCAGAGGUUGCAGUGAGCUGAGAUUGCGCCACUGCACUCCAGCCUGGGUGACAGAGUGAGACCCUGUCUCAA
Macaca fascicularis (crab-eating macaque) is the source of this 148-nucleotide unclassified non-coding RNA. It matches the Rfam family "Metazoan signal recognition particle RNA". Rfam says of the family: The signal recognition particle (SRP) is a universally conserved ribonucleoprotein. It is involved in the co-translational targeting of proteins to membranes. The eukaryotic SRP consists of a 300-nucleotide 7S RNA and six proteins: SRPs 72, 68, 54, 19, 14, and 9. The record is from Ensembl. Lineage: Eukaryota; Metazoa; Chordata; Mammalia; Primates; Cercopithecidae.